CGCAGCGUCGCUGCGCGACAUGACCUGCUGUUCCCGCUGCUGAACCUCUACCCGCUGGGGGAGCGGCGUGGACGGUUAUAUCGGAGGAACCAGGAACGGUCGUUCGGACGCACGAAGGGAGCGUGACAAUUUUGACGAGGAUUAAUUAAGGAACGAUCGGGUUUUCUGUCCUAACCUGCGCGUACGCGCGAACGACGUCGGACGUCCUGCCUCUGCUUCGGGCCGGCGAUGCUUCCUUUACUUAUAUUGGUACCUUCGUGUUCAUACGUUUUUGAUGUGUCUCGCAACCCAGUUGUUUAUACACCUUGGUUCCUUCUCAUAUCUGGCACACCUUCCAAAACAGUAGCAGCGCCGACACAAAUACUGGCGGGAACGGUAAGAGAGCGGGUCCUCCGCAGUUAGAGCCUCGUAGUAAUAUUCUAUACCUCACCCGCCUCACAAAUAUAACAGGAAGGGUGAAGAGAGGAUGUGACACCCUGACUACGUCCGGCCCUUUUAAUUUUUGCUCAACAUGGGCCAAACCCGUUACAAAGACCGGUACGAAAAGCCUCCGUGGUCGAGUUACAGACAGGUCUUCGAGCUAGUUUUGUUCGUUGAGUACUUCGAGAUGACACUAACAUAGAACAAGAGCUACACGUGGCCGUGCCAUAAUCCACCAAAAUAAAUAUGUAAGCCAUACUUCGUAUCAAGGUCAGCGGAACAAGGAAAGUAACCAACGAACAAGCAGCACCCUAUAGAUAACCCUUAAUUUUGCCGACUCGUCACCAGACGACGUACCAAUCGUUCGUUUGGUAGUAGCUUGUUACCGUAGUUCACCGACCGGGAGAUGUACUUCCCACUCGUGUUUGAGUCGCGUAGGAUGCUGGGAGCAUGGUACGUCCCUAUGUUCAUGGGCUAAGAUUAGGUACGACCCCCUCGUUUUUAACCUCUUUUACGUUAGUGUAACCUAUUGUAAACCACACUGUUGUAGCCAUAGAACAGUAGAAUGAUAUCUCGAGGAUAGGCAGCAGAGUUCCUAGACACAGAGAGUAAGCGUGACAAGGUAGAGCACCAAGCCGCUAUGAAACCGAUGUGAACAGGACUUAGACCCGAACUGUUCUGAGCACUAGAACAAGAACUACCCGACAACGUUUGUCUUGUCCUGAUACUUUCUCGUAAAGUUCACUAACUUCGUCUCAACCGAAAGGAGAUGCUAAAGAAGAAGUGGUUUAUACGGAGGUAUUACAUGUCGUUGCUCGAUUCCAUAAUACGAGAAAGUGAGUGGGAGUGUAACCAGUCAUAUCGCCGACCACGUACCAGAGAAUCACAAAACUUGGCCGUGCCAAGAUAAAACCUGUCAGCAAAACAUGUUUGGUCGUGUGUUCUACAGGACCAAUGGGAUUAUCGUAACCGACGUGACAGCCAUAGAGUCAAGGACGUCUAUACCAGAAUGACACAGAGACUGACCCGUUUUUAUAGGAAACAAACAUUCAUGCAUCGUGUAGGUAGUACCGUUCCCUUGUGGGCAUAACUCUUCGAAGAAAAUACAAAACCUGCUGGAGUGUUCACCGAAGCGAUAACCGCGUUGUGAUAACCGGUUAUGAGCCAAGAACUAAGGAAAUCAAGGUCGAUGGCCGUAGCCAACUUUGUAGAGGAAGGUUGACUCCUUCGUCCGUUCGGACACCUCAACGGUUACGUUCACUUCUCCCGUCACGUGCCUGAUAGUUUUUGAGUUGUUUGCCGGUAGAAAGUGUACCUUGGAGGCGUGACUACUCUGUGCCGUACUCACUACUUGAUACGCCACGUACGGUCUAGUUGCUACUUAUAUGUGACUGGCUGUCGUAUGACCGUACCGUACAGCGGUGAUCGAAGACACUCUAGAGCCUAUGUUAGUUUGCGGGUGUGCUACACGUGGGCUUAGUUCAACAGCGGUGAUAGAACAGGUUCAUAACAUGGAUGAACCAGCGGAAACGUGGUUGCAACGAAGGUCCGUCACGCGGUCUUUGUUUCACACGAGAGCUACUCUAUCAUUUUCUUCGGUUUCUUUACGACGUACUAGAGCAUAGAGGUUCCCUUUUCAUACUUUUCGAAUCACUUGAUCUCAUACAGCAUCCACCACCUUCUUUUAACAAGUGGAUACCACGACACGACCCCUUUCGCGACCUCUCGUACCUGUUAGUACGCUUGGCCACCCUGGAUGACCGUCUAAAGACCCGGCUCUACUACCACAUAUAACGGGGUAGAUUGUUACAUCGACCAGUGUAUCUUGAAGAACGCCUUCCUCCGCUCAAACACUGAGUGCAGACCCGAAACGAGUACGUACGACCAUAGGAACUCGCAGGGUGAUGAUGUUAUUAGGGGAUCUGGUUCCAGAGUUCCGCUCCGACGUUCCUCGAUGUGAGUCAGAAAUUCCGAAACGCAAAUACUACUGAAACGCGAACAACCAAACCACAUUAUAACACUAAUACACAACAUAAAGGACAGACUUUGAGAUAUUAGACCACGUGCGAACAUGAUGAUUACUAUGGGACACCUAACCAAUACAUACAUGGUACCCAGACAACGUUGGCCGACCUCGUCC
Molecule: ribosomal RNA, 2560 nt
Filed under: Triticum aestivum (bread wheat)
Lineage: Eukaryota; Viridiplantae; Streptophyta; Magnoliopsida; Poales; Poaceae
Description: partial small subunit ribosomal RNA
Source: RNAcentral